CGCAUAUCCUUUUCUGUUAUUGUUUAUUUUUGUUUGUUUUAAUUUUGGUUUAUUCUGUAUAAUAACUGUGGCGAUUGCAAUGAUGAUAACAUUUUCCCAGCUCAUUAUGAGACCUUAUUUUUAAGGUCCGAGAAUAUACUCCGUUUCCAACACAUAUAUAUAUCUGAGCUUCGCCUCUUUUUUGCUUGAAUUUUCUCUGAAUUGAAAAUCAAGUAUAUGUUUUCUAUUACUAGCAAUUUCUUUUGUGAUUUUUCAUUUUUUUUUAUUGUGCAAAAGGCUGGAGAUAUUGGUGUUCCCUGUGAUGUAAGAUUGACCAUGCUAAUUCUGAAUUUUUUUUCUGAAGAAAGCUUAUGUUAUUUGUCUGAGGGAACAUUCUUGCA
Lycium ferocissimum is the source of this 380-nucleotide long non-coding RNA. RefSeq lists it as uncharacterized. The record is from RefSeq and is a predicted model, not a curated record. The transcript is spliced from 2 exons. Lineage: Eukaryota; Viridiplantae; Streptophyta; Magnoliopsida; Solanales; Solanaceae.